CCAAAUCUGUGUACACAGUUGAAGAGAAUGACCUCACCCUAUGAAGGAGGAUUGUUCUUCAGACAAAGGUAUAUAAGUAGAUGUGCUCCCCUUCUGGAACCUCAAAACAAGUCCUGAAAGUUCAUAAUGGGGUGGACCUCAUU
This 143-nucleotide small RNA is filed under the name Nannospalax galili (Upper Galilee mountains blind mole rat). RNAcentral describes it as "7SK RNA (ENSNGAG00000007198.1)". It matches the Rfam family "7SK RNA", at positions 122 to 273 of the family's 331-position model. From Rfam's summary of the family: 7SK was discovered as an abundant small nuclear RNA in the mid-70s but a possible function has only recently been suggested. Two independent studies have found that 7SK RNA binds the CDK9/cyclin T complex (known as elongation factor P-TEFb). Lineage: Eukaryota; Metazoa; Chordata; Mammalia; Rodentia; Spalacidae. The record is from RNAcentral.